This 472-nucleotide ribosomal RNA is filed under the name uncultured bacterium. RNAcentral describes it as "bacterial SSU rRNA". It matches the Rfam family "Bacterial small subunit ribosomal RNA", at positions 355 to 825 of the family's 1533-position model. The record is from RNAcentral.
UCGAGAAUCAUUCGCAAUGGGCGAAAGCCUGACGGUGCGACGCCGCGUGGAGGAUGAAGGCCCUAGGGUCGUAAACUCCUGUCAUCAGGGAGUAAUGGCUCAUAUAGUAACUGAUAUGGGUCUUGAUAGUACCUGAAGAGGAAGGGACGGCAAACUUCGUGCCAGCAGCCGCGGUAAUACGGAGGGUGCAAGCGUUAAUCGGAAUUACUGGGCGUAAAGGGCGCGUAGGUGGAUGAUUGAGUCGGAUGUGAAAGCCCUGGGCUUAACCUAGGACGUGCAUACGAUACUGAUUGUCUAGAGUGAAGUAGAGGGUAGUGGAAUUUCUGGUGUAGCGGUGAAAUGCGUAGAUAUCAGAAAGAACACCGGUGGCGAAGGCGGCUACCUGGACUUUAACUGACACUGAGGCGCGAAAGCGUGGGAGCAAACAGGAUUAGAUACCCAAGUAGUCCCUGAGCGGGCUGGCAAGGCGCAU